Molecule: ribosomal RNA, 377 nt
Filed under: uncultured bacterium
Lineage: Bacteria
Description: bacterial SSU rRNA
Rfam family: Bacterial small subunit ribosomal RNA
Source: RNAcentral
GUACGUAGGGGGCAAGCGUUAUCCGGAUUUACUGGGUGUAAAGGGAGCGUAGGUGGCAAGUCAAGUCAGAUGUGAAAGCCCGGGGCUCAACUCCGGGAUUGCAUUUGAAACUGGUUUGCUAGAGUGCAGGAGAGGUAAGUGGAAUUCCUAGUGUAGCGGUGAAAUGCGUAGAUAUUAGGAGGAACACCAGUGGCGAAGGCGGCUUACUGGACUGUAACUGACACUGAGGCUCGAAGGCGUGGGGAGCAAACAGGAUUAGAUACCCUGGUAGUCCACGCCAUAAACGAUGAAUACUAGAUGUCGGGGAGCAAAAGCUCUUCGGUGCCGGCGCAAACGCAUUAAGUAUUCCACCUGGGGAGUACGUUCGCAAGAAUGAA